This 419-nucleotide ribosomal RNA is filed under the name uncultured bacterium. RNAcentral's name for it is "bacterial SSU rRNA". It matches the Rfam family "Bacterial small subunit ribosomal RNA", at positions 356 to 774 of the family's 1533-position model. The record is from RNAcentral.
AAGGAAUAUUGCUCAAUGGGAGAAAUCCUGAAGCAGCAACGCCGCGUGGAGGAUGAAGGGUCUAUGACUUGUAAACUCCUGUAAAGAAGGAAAAAAUUCCCAUUUGAUGGGAGAUGAUGGUACUUCUGGAGUAAGCCCCGGCUAACUCCGUGCCAGCAGCCGCGGUAAUACGGAGGAUGCGAGCGUUAUCCGGAUUUAUUGGGUUUAAAGGGUGCGCAGGCGGGAUUUUAAGUCAGCGGUGAAAUUUUCAGGCUCAGCCUGAACACUGCCGUUGAAACUGGGAUUCUUGAGUAUGGAUGAAGUAGGCGGAAUUCGUUGUGUAGCGGUGACAUGCUUAGAUAUAACGAGGAACUCCGAUUGCGUAGGCAGCUUACUAAGCCAUAACUGACGCUCAAGCACGAAAGCGUGGGGAUCAAACA